This 401-nucleotide ribosomal RNA is filed under the name uncultured bacterium. RNAcentral's name for it is "bacterial SSU rRNA". It matches the Rfam family "Bacterial small subunit ribosomal RNA", at positions 355 to 773 of the family's 1533-position model. The record is from RNAcentral.
UGGGGAAUCUUGGACAAUGGGGGCAACCCUGAUCCAGCCAUGCCGCGUGAGUGAUGAAGGCCUUAGGGUUGUAAAACUCUUUCGCUAGGGAAGAUAAUGACGGUACCUAGUAAAGAAGUCCCGGCUAACUCCGUGCCAGCAGCCGCGGUAAUACGGAGGGGACUAGCGUUGUUCGGAAUUACUGGGCGUAAAGAGUUCGUAGGCGGACUAGCAAGUUAGAGGUGAAAUCCCAGGGCUCAACCUUGGAACUGCCUUUAAAACUGCUAGUCUAGAGACCGGAAGAGGUUAGGGGAAUACCUAGUGUAGAGGUGAAAUUCGUAGAUAUUAGGUGGAACACCAGUGGCGAAGGCGCCUAACUGGUCCGGUACUGACGCUGAGGAACGAAAGCGUGGGGAGCAAAC